Molecule: ribosomal RNA, 254 nt
Filed under: uncultured bacterium
Lineage: Bacteria
Description: partial 16S ribosomal RNA
Rfam family: Bacterial small subunit ribosomal RNA
Source: RNAcentral
UACGUAGGGUGCAAGCGUUAAUCGGAAUUACUGGGCGUAAAGCGUGCGCAGGCGGUUUUGUAAGCCAGAUGUGAAAUCCCCGGGCUUAACCUGGGAAUGGCAUUUGGGACUGCAAGGCUAGAGUGUGUCAGAGGGGGGUAGAAUUCCACGUGUGAGCAGUGAAAUGCGUAGAUAUGUGGAGGAAUACCGAUGGCGAAGGCAGCCCCCUGGGAUAACACUGACGCUCAUGCACGAAAGCGUGGGGAGCAAACAGG